This 67-nucleotide microRNA precursor is filed under the name Bombyx mori (domestic silkworm). RNAcentral describes it as "mir-2774 microRNA precursor family". It matches the Rfam family "mir-2774 microRNA precursor family". Lineage: Eukaryota; Metazoa; Arthropoda; Insecta; Lepidoptera; Bombycidae. The record is from Rfam by way of RNAcentral.
AAACCAUCAGGGUUGUCGGUCUACCGAGCAAUACCACCCACUCGGUGGAAGAACUUCCGUUAAACAU